RNAcentral lists this long non-coding RNA (640 nucleotides) under Carica papaya (papaya). RNAcentral describes it as "long non-coding RNA (CPAP_LNC006051)". Lineage: Eukaryota; Viridiplantae; Streptophyta; Magnoliopsida; Brassicales; Caricaceae. The record is from RNAcentral.
UAGAUCAUUUGAAAAAAAAAAAACAAACUAGUUUAUUUUUUGACAAUGGGAACAUCACGUGUUCUCUACCAACCUUAAGAUAAUUUACUUGACGUUGAAGUACCAAACGACUCACAAUAAAACUCAUCGACAGAUUAAGUACGACAACUUGAAUAGAUUUUUGUGGGUAAGUUGGCAUACUCCUCAUGAGAAAUUAUACAGGCUCAAAAUUGAUGACUUUACUCGAGACAACACUAGUAAUCUAAUUGAUAGAGGUCUCAUUAGAAGCAAUUAAGGCCAAUAAAUUAUGAACUUUACGAGUAAAUAGGAUAUUAUUAAUAUUUUUUAGAGAAAACACACAAAAAAUAAGAUUAUAAAUUUAGAUCUUUCAAAUAAAUUUGAUCUAUUUAAGAAUUCAUGAACCUUAAUUAAAAUAUGACUAUUAAUAAUCGUGACGGUGAGAUAUCGUGAUGUUCUUACUGGGCUAGUGUAGCUCACUCCUUAUUUAACCAUUUCAGAUCAGGAAGACAUGGUUCCCGAGCCUGUUCCGCAGGAGGACGACGAAGGGGAUGCCUAGAGACUCUGUAGUCAUACUCAUAGUUUUAUUUUCGAGUUUCUCUCUUAGUUAGUUUAAUCUUUUGUAUUUUAAGUACGUUUUUAG